RNAcentral lists this ribosomal RNA (453 nucleotides) under uncultured organism. RNAcentral's name for it is "partial 16S ribosomal RNA". It matches the Rfam family "Bacterial small subunit ribosomal RNA", at positions 332 to 801 of the family's 1533-position model. The record is from RNAcentral.
UACACUCCUGCGGGAGGCAGCAGUGGGGAAUAUUGGACAAUGGGCGCAAGCCUGAUCCAGCCAUGCCGCGUGAGUGAUGAAGGCCCUAGGGUUGUAAAGCUCUUUCACCGGUGAAGAUAAUGACGGUAACCGGAGAAGAAGCCCCGGCUAACUUCGUGCCAGCAGCCGCGGUAAUACGAAGGGGGCUAGCGUUGUUCGGAUUUACUGGGCGUAAAGCGCACGUAGGCGGACUAUUAAGUCAGGGGUGAAAUCCCGGGGCUCAACCCCGGAACUGCCUUUGAUACUGGUAGUCUUGAGUUCGAGAGAGGUGAGUGGAAUUCCGAGUGUAGAGGUGAAAUUCGUAGAUAUUCGGAGGAACACCAGUGGCGAAGGCGGCUCACUGGCUCGAUACUGACGCUGAGGUGCGAAAGCGUGGGGAGCAAACAGGAUUAGAUACCCCAGUAGUCCCAUGAU